UACGAAGGGGGCUAGCGUUGCUCGGAAUCACUGGGCGUAAAGCGCACGUAGGCGGAUCGUUAAGUCGGAGGUGAAAUCCUGGAGCUCAACUCCAGAACUGCCUUCGAUACUGGCGAUCUUGGAGUCCGGGAGAGGUGAGUGGAACUCCGAGUGUAGAGGUGAAAUUCGUAGAUAUUCGGAAGAACACCAGUGGCGAAGGCGACUCACUGGCCCGUUACUGACGCUGAGGCGCGAAAGCGUGGGGAGCAAACAGG
Molecule: ribosomal RNA, 254 nt
Filed under: uncultured bacterium
Lineage: Bacteria
Description: partial 16S ribosomal RNA
Rfam family: Bacterial small subunit ribosomal RNA
Source: RNAcentral